AUUGGGUGUAAAGCGCGCGUAGGUGGUUUUGUAAGUUGGAGGUGAAAUCCCCGGGCUCAACCUGGGAACUGCCUCCAAAACUGCAUGACUAGAGUACGGUAGAGGGUAGUGGAAUUUCCUGUGUAGCGGUGAAAUGCGUAGAUAUAGGAAGGAACACCAGUGGCGAAGGCGACUACCUGGACUGAUACUGACACUGAGGUGCGAAAGCGUGGGGAGCAAACAGGAUUAGAUACCCCCGUA
RNAcentral lists this ribosomal RNA (240 nucleotides) under uncultured Pseudomonas sp. RNAcentral's name for it is "partial 16S ribosomal RNA". It matches the Rfam family "Bacterial small subunit ribosomal RNA", at positions 553 to 792 of the family's 1533-position model. The record is from RNAcentral. Lineage: Bacteria; Pseudomonadati; Pseudomonadota; Gammaproteobacteria; Pseudomonadales; Pseudomonadaceae.